This 394-nucleotide ribosomal RNA is filed under the name uncultured bacterium. RNAcentral describes it as "partial 16S ribosomal RNA". It matches the Rfam family "Bacterial small subunit ribosomal RNA", at positions 523 to 918 of the family's 1533-position model. The record is from RNAcentral.
AUACGUAGGGGGCGAGCGUUAUCCGGAAUUAUUGGGCGUAAAGCGUACGUAGGUGGUCUUGUAAGCGUGAGGUGAAAGCCUGCAGCUUAACUGCAGCGAGCCUCAUGAACUGCAAGACUUGAGUGCAGGAGGGGUAAGUGGAACUCCAUGUGUAGCGGUGAAAUGCGUAGAUAUAUGGAAGAACACCGGUGGCGAAGGCGACUUACUGGACUGUAACUGACACUGAGGUACGAAAGCGUGGGGAGCAAACAGGAUUAGAUACCCUGGUAGUCCACGCUGUAAACGAUGAGCACUAGGUGUCUGGGUAGAAAUACUUAGGUGCCGCAGUUAACGCAUUAAGUGCUCCGCCUGGGGAGUACGCACGCAAGUGUGAAACUCAAAUGAAUUGACGGGG